This 856-nucleotide ribosomal RNA is filed under the name uncultured bacterium. Its description in RNAcentral is "SSU rRNA". It matches the Rfam family "Bacterial small subunit ribosomal RNA", at positions 524 to 1381 of the family's 1533-position model. The record is from RNAcentral.
UACGAAGGGACCUAGCGUAGUUCGGAAUUACUGGGCUUAAAGAGUUCGUAGGUGGUUGAAAAAGUUGGUGGUGAAAUCCCAGAGCUUAACUCUGGAACUGCCAUCAAAACUUUUCAGCUAGAGUAUGAUAGAGGAAAGCAGAAUUUCUAGUGUAGAGGUGAAAUUCGUAGAUAUUAGAAAGAAUACCAAUUGCGAAGGCAGCUUUCUGGAUCAUUACUGACACUGAGGAACGAAAGCAUGGGUAGCGAAGAGGAUUAGAUACCCUCGUAGUCCAUGCCGUAAACGAUGUGUGUUAGACGUUGGAAAUUUAUUUUCAGUGUCGCAGCGAAAGCGAUAAACACACCGCCUGGGGAGUACGACCGCAAGGUUAAAACUCAAAUGAAUUGACGGGGACCCGCACAAGUAGUGGAGCAUGUGGUUUAAUUCGAAGAUACGCGCAGAACCUUACCAACACUUGACAUGUUCGUCGCGACUCUAAGAGAUUAGAGUUUUCGGUUCGGCCGGACGAAACACAGGUGCUGCAUGGCUGUCGUCAGCUCGUGUCGUGAGAUGUUGGGUUAAGUCCCGCAACGAGCGCAACCCUCACUUUUAGUUGCCAUCAUUAAGUUGGGCACUCUGAAAGAACUGCCAGUGAUAAGCUGGAGGAAGGUGGGGAUGACGUCAAGUCCUCAUGGCCCUUACGUGUUGGGCUACACACGUGCUACAAUGGUAUCUACAACAGGAAGCAAAACUGCGAAGUUAAGCAAAUCCCUAAAAGAUACCUCAGUUCGGAUUGCACUCUGCAACUCGAGUGCAUGAAGCUGGAAUUACUAGUAAUCGUGGAUCAGCGUGCCACGGUGAAUGCGUUCCCGGGUCU